RNAcentral lists this ribosomal RNA (524 nucleotides) under uncultured bacterium. RNAcentral's name for it is "bacterial SSU rRNA". It matches the Rfam family "Bacterial small subunit ribosomal RNA", at positions 355 to 896 of the family's 1533-position model. The record is from RNAcentral.
UGGGGAAUAUUGGACAAUGGACCAAGAGUCUGAUCCGGCAAUUCUGUGUGCACGAUGACGUUUUUCGGAAUGUAAAGUGCUUUCAGUUGGGAAGAAAAAAAUGACGGUACCAACAGAAGAAGUGACGGCUAAAUACGUGCCAGCAGCCGCGGUAAUACGUAUGUCACAAGCGUUAUCCGGAUUUAUUGGGCGUAAAGCGCGUCUAGGUGGUUAUGUAAGUCUGAUGUGAAAAUGCAGGGCUCAACUCUGUAUUGCGUUGGAAACUGUGUAACUAGAGUACUGGAGAGGUAAGCGGAACUACAAGUGUAGAGGUGAAAUUCGUAGAUAUUUGUAGGAAUGCCGAUGGGGAAGCCAGCUUACUGGACAGAUACUGACGCUGAAGCGCGAAAGCGUGGGUAGCAAACAGGAUUAGAUACCCUGGUAGUCCACGCCGUAAACGAUGAUUACUAGGUGUUGGGGGUCGAACCUCAGCGCCCAAGCAAACGCGAUAAGUAAUCCGCCUGGGGAGUACGUACGCAAGUAUG